Molecule: long non-coding RNA, 1502 nt
Filed under: Homo sapiens (human)
Lineage: Eukaryota; Metazoa; Chordata; Mammalia; Primates; Hominidae
Description: HSALNT0053872
Source: RNAcentral
CCCUUCCACAUUGUGGAGGCUUUGGUCUUUUGUUCUUUGCCGUAAAUCUUGCUACUGCUCACUCUUUGGGUCCACACUGCCUUUAUGAGCUGUAACACUCAGCGUGAAGGUCUGCAGCUUCACUCCUGAAGCCAUGGAGACCAGGAACCCACCAGGAGGAACGAACAACUCCACACGUGCUGCUUUAAGAGCUGUAACACUCACUGCGGAGGUCUGCAGCUUCACUCCUGAGCCAGUGAGACCACGAACCCACCAGAAGGAAAAAACUUCAAACAUAUCCGAACAGCAAAAGGAACAGACUCCGGACACGCCACCUUUAAGAACUGUAACACCCACUGCAAGGGUCUGCGGCUUCAUUCUUUAAGUCAGUGAGACCAAGAACCCGCCAAUUCCGGACCCAAGAUCACAAAUCUGAAACCAACCAGCAAUAUGACCCUUGGCAAUUUACCUAACACCCGCGAACCUCAGUUUCCUAACCUGUAAGUUGGGGGUGAUAAUACCAAUUUCCAAAAAGAUGUUGUGAGCAAUAAUGCAAUACUAUGAAUAAAGCAAUUGAUGGAGGGCCUGGCUAUUGCUGAUUAUCAUCAUCAAGCUCUUUGUCUAAUAGCAUUUGGGGAAAGGAAUGAAAUUCCCAGAUGAGAGACAAAGUUGACCAUCAGAGUCUGCAGAGUUUGCAUACCCACAUGGUAUCAGAGGUCUCCAGUAAACGCAGUUACUCCUGGGAUCCAUGAAGACAGGACAAACAGUGAGCUGGUAGCAGCAAAAGCUAAUCAAGUUAAUUGAGAUUCUAUGACCAGGCUCUGAUGUCAGCACAACCCAUUAUUUUGGAGAGUUCUUUCCGGCCUGAAAGUGAUGCUUAUUGCUUUAUUCACAAUCUACUGGCAAGAACUCAGCCACGAGGCCACACAUGAUCUCAAGGGAUGCCAAAAAAACAUAAAUUUAAAAAAUACAUCACAUGUAAUGAAAUGAAGCCUAGCCACCUGCCCAGGAAGAAGAGGAAAUGGGAUCAAUUAUCAUUCACCAGUGCCACACUGUCCAAGCUGGCUUCACAGAAGCCUCAGUUGAGUCAGUGCCAGCCCUACUCUCCUCCCUGGUACUUAAUGGUCUGUCAACAGCAGUGAUGCAGAAGCAAGGGUGCUGGAAUGGAGACAGGAGUCCUAGUGCUGACUGCCACUGGCUGUAUGACUCUGGCCGAGUUUGGGAGCUUUGGCUUAGUUAAAUUAACAGAGGAGACUUACAGGGAGCUUUUGCAAAGUCAGGAGGAAAAUGCCAUGUGGAGACAGACACACAGGGAGAAGAACUCCAUGUGACGCAGAGGCAGAGCGUGGAGAGAUGCAGGCGGAAGGAGUGCCAAGGAUUGCUGGCCACCACCAGAGGCUGGGAAGAUGCAAGGAAGGAUUCUACCCAGAGUCUCAGACAGAGCAUGUCCCUGUGGAAACCUUGAUUUCAGACUUCUGGCCCCCAGAACUGUGAGAGAAUAAAUUUCUGUUGUUUAAGCCAUC